GCCGCGGUAAUACGUAGGUGGCAAGCGUUGUCCGGAAUUACUGGGUGUAAAGGGAGCGCAGGCGGGUUUGCAAGUUGGAUGUUUAAUGGAGGGCUCAACCCUUCUCGCAUUGGAACUAGUCAAACUUAGAGUGCAGAAGGGGAGGAGUGGAAUUCCAUGUGUAGCGGUGAAAUGCGUAGAUAUAUGGAGGAACACCGGUGGCGAAAGCGGGUCGACGCGGCCGAGUCGUGGGAGCAAG
Molecule: ribosomal RNA, 238 nt
Filed under: uncultured bacterium
Lineage: Bacteria
Description: partial 16S ribosomal RNA
Rfam family: Bacterial small subunit ribosomal RNA
Source: RNAcentral